Molecule: ribosomal RNA, 445 nt
Filed under: uncultured bacterium
Lineage: Bacteria
Description: bacterial SSU rRNA
Rfam family: Bacterial small subunit ribosomal RNA
Source: RNAcentral
UCCAGACUCCUACGGGAGGCAGCAGUGGGGAAUAUUGCACAAUGGGGGAAACCCUGAUGCAGCGACGCCGCGUGAGUGAAGAAGUAUUUCGGUAUGUAAAGCUCUAUCAGCAGGGAAGAUAAUGACGGUACCUAACUAAGAAGCCCCGGCUAACUACGUGCCAGCAGCCGCGGUAAUACGUAGGGGGCAAGCGUUAUCCGGAUUUACUGGGUGUAAAGGGUGCGCAGGUGGCAGGGCAAGUCGGCGGUCAAAGCGCGGGGCUCAACCCCGCCCAGCCGUCGGAACUGCCGGGCUAGAGUGGGCGAGAAGUGCGCGGAAUGCGUGGUGUAGCGGUGAAAUGCAUAGAUAUCACGCAGAACUCCGAUUGCGAAGGCAGCGCACCGGCGCCCUACUGACGCUCAGGCACGAAAGCGUGGGUAUCGAACAGGAUUAGAUACCCGUGUAC